GAUGAAGAACGUAGCGAAAUGCGAUACUUGGUGUGAAUUGCAGAAUCCCGUGAACCAUCGAGUCUUUGAACGCAAGUUGCGCCCGAAGCCAUUAGGCCGAGGGCACGCCUGCCUGGGCGUCACACGUCGUUGCCCCCCCAUCUACUCCUUCGGGAUUGCGGGGGGCGGAUGAUGGCCUCCCGUGCGCCUCGCCGCGCGGUUGGCAUAAAUGCCAAGUCCUCGGCGACGCACGCCACGACAAUCGGUGGUUGCGAAACCUCGGUUGCCAGUCGUGUGCGGUCGUCGCGCAUCGAGGGCUCGAAAAAAUUGCCGGGUUCCGGCUCGGCUUUCAACGCGACCCCAGGUCAGGCGGGGUUACCCGCUGAAUUUAAGCAUAUCAAUAAGCGGAGGA
Molecule: unclassified non-coding RNA, 391 nt
Filed under: soil metagenome
Description: partial contains 5.8S ribosomal RNA, internal transcribed spacer 2, and large subunit ribosomal RNA
Rfam family: 5.8S ribosomal RNA (bases 1-122)
Source: RNAcentral